GGAGGGUGCAAGCGUUAUCCGGAUUCACUGGGUUUAAAGGGAGCGUAGGUGGGUUGGUAAGUCAGUGGUGAAAUCUCCGGGCUUAACUCGGAAACUGCCGUUGAUACUAUCAAUCUUGAAUAUUGUGGAGGUAAGCGGAAUAUGUCAUGUAGCGGUGAAAUGCUUAGAUAUGACAUAGAACACCGAUAGCGAAGGCAGCUUGCUACACAAUUAUUGACACUGAGGCUCGAAAGCGUGGGGAUCAAACAGGAUUAGAUACCCUGGUAGUCCACGCCCUAAACGAUGGAUACUCGACAUACGCGAUACACAGUGUGUGUCUGAGCGAAAGCAUUAAGUAUCCCACCUGGGAAGUACGACCGCAAGGUUGAA
RNAcentral lists this ribosomal RNA (369 nucleotides) under uncultured bacterium. Its description in RNAcentral is "bacterial SSU rRNA". It matches the Rfam family "Bacterial small subunit ribosomal RNA", at positions 527 to 898 of the family's 1533-position model. The record is from RNAcentral.